CAAAGACUAAGGAUGCUAUUCUCUGAUCUCCUUGCAAUCGGAAAUAUGUUUAUCAACGAGAGAGAUCAGCACACAAAUCCACGAUCGAAGUGCUAUAACCUCCAAAGUUACAUAAAGUUUUCUCUUGAUUUGCACUUGGUAGAAAACCGACAUCCAUAGGUAUUGGCUGGCUCAUGUAUAGACAUGGAGCGACGCCAUUUUCCAAUGGUUGCAACUCAAAACUAAAGGUGAGGUGGCAUCUAUUUCUCAUAAAGAUUCAUUAUCUUCGUUCUCACAUAACCAUUAAUCCUAACCAGCAAAGUUCACGUUGUAUGGUACCCAUAAAUCGCAUCCAUUGCUAGCUCAAACUUAAGAAAAAAAGAGCAUAUUCAUUACCUCAAAACUCAUAAUGUUUGUGAGAAAUUUGCUAGGAAAUAAAUCAAAAUAUUGGUCACAGAUUGGUUGAAGCACAUAACAGAUCAUGCUUGUACAAAAUUCCAGUAUAGGCCUGAAAAACAAAUGUAGCAGAUGACCCAAGAACAAUACUUGUAAUUGAUUUCUUCCAUCACUAACAUCUAAGAGAUCUUUGUCGUUCAGGAAGAAUAAAAACAGUAAAUCACUCCAUAAAGUUAUCACUGCAGCAGAAAUCCAGAAAAACCGUAUUGAAUCCUAUUUACUUUCUAGAACUAAUACAGAUAGGGUGCUGUUGAUACAUGGAAUCAGUUAGAUUUGGGAAAUUAAUUAUAAAUUAAGCCUUGCAGACAAUAUUUUAGCUGAAAAAGAAGGAGGAGUUCAUUACAAUGUUGGUAUAAAACAUAAAUGAAAAACAAAAGGUCUAAAGCCACAGCUAGAAUAAAAUCUUUAUUGCCACUUGUCUGAAUUUAUUUGAUUUAAUAAUUGAAGCAUCAAUUCAGGCCACCAAAGGUCCUUUCCCUUCCAACCCCUAGAUGAUAAUGAUAAUAAACCUCAUCAAAGCGCAAACCUCCACUAGCAACAACCCAUAGGCACAGUCCUAAAAGAAUCACCUAAUUAUUCAUGUAGCCAUUAGACUCCAGAAAAUGGGACUAGAACCCCAUUGAAUCACUUAUCUUGGAUCAACAACAACUUUCAGCAAUCUAAGAAGCAUUUCUUGUUCUGGAUUUCAAGGCACCUAAUACUUAACCAAGAAUUCAUGUUCUGUAUUACUAGACAGAACCAAGAAAACAAAUACCAUCAUUCUACCCAUCAAAGUUAUAGAAACCUCUCCAAGCACUCACAUUAACUCCAGUGUCCCCCUUCUGGAGGUUCUUUAUGAUAGCCAUAACUAUUCUAAUCAGCUUCAAACAUCAAAGACAAGUAAUGAUCCUUAUCUCAAUUUAGAAACCAUUAUAGCAGAGACCUUCCUCCAUAAAGUUUAACAUAAAUGGCUCAAAUGAUUCAACCAAAUACAAAGGGAAAACCCCCCUCGUCUACCUAAAUGAUGAUGUACAUGUAUGAGAAGAAACAACCACCAAAUAAAAGCCUCCAUGGCCAUAUCUUUAAUGGGUUUAUUUCAUUUUCUCGUAACUGUAAGACACUACUUGUCAACUACCUUCAAAAAAUUACACUGAAAAGCCAAAGAGCAUGUCAUGAUGGCAGCAUAAACUUAUAACAACAACCAACAAGUAGAGCCAUUAGAGUUGAAUAUUAAAUAUUGGGAAGGAGUUCGUUUGUUUGAAUUACUUACUCUUGGAGAAGGAGGCAAAUGAUAAAGUGCGCACUGCCAGCUCCAUCUCCAAAUUUAGAUACAAAAAGGCUUACUUGUGUGCUGUGCUUCUAU
This 1777-nucleotide long non-coding RNA is filed under the name Populus trichocarpa (black cottonwood). RNAcentral describes it as "long non-coding RNA (PTRI_LNC001339)". The record is from RNAcentral. Lineage: Eukaryota; Viridiplantae; Streptophyta; Magnoliopsida; Malpighiales; Salicaceae.